AGAGUUUGAUUAUGGCUCAGGAUGAACGCUAGCUACAGGCUUAACACAUGCAAGUCAGGGGCAUCAUGAUCAAAGUUGCUUGAUUGAUGGCGACCGGCGCACGGGUGAGUAACGCGUAUCCAACCUUCCCCCCAGUAGGGCAUAGCCCGGCGAAAGUCGGAUUAAUACCCUAUGUUUUCCAAUGAGGACAUCUGAGCUGGAACAAAGAUUUAUCGCUGGGGGGAUGGGGAUGCGUCCGAUUAGGUUGUUGGCGGGGUAACGGCCCACCAAGCCCGCGAUCGGUAGGGGUUCUGAGAGGAAGGUCCCCCACACUGGUACUGAGACACGGACCAGACUCCUACGGGAGGCAGCAGUGAGGAAUAUUGGUCAAUGGGCGUAAGCCUGAACCAGCCAAGUAGCGUGCAGGACGACGGCCCUAUGGGUUGUAAACUGCUUUUAUGCGGGGAUAAAGUGAGGUAUGUAUACCUUUUUGUAGGUACCGCAUGAAUAAGGACCGGCUAAUUCCGUGCCAGCAGCCGC
This 519-nucleotide ribosomal RNA is filed under the name uncultured bacterium. RNAcentral's name for it is "bacterial SSU rRNA". It matches the Rfam family "Bacterial small subunit ribosomal RNA", at positions 8 to 518 of the family's 1533-position model. The record is from RNAcentral.